This 627-nucleotide long non-coding RNA is filed under the name Mytilus galloprovincialis (Mediterranean mussel). Lineage: Eukaryota; Metazoa; Mollusca; Bivalvia; Mytilida; Mytilidae. The record is from RNAcentral.
UUUUUUUCUAUGAAGUCAUAUUUUGAGGGACCAUGUAUAAGUGACCCUUAGUGGUGGACUGAUUAAUAAAGAUACUUGUAUAAAACUAGAUAUCACUGGAAUCAGAAUGUUCUCUAGUUUAUAAUGGAAUAAAAAAAAAAGUGUACUUUUAAUAGUAUAGAAAAGUUUUAUCCAGAGAAACUGGGAAAAACAUUGCCUUAAUUUAAGCUUAAAAAACCUGAAAUCAGGUCAUGUGCACACCCCUGAAGACAUGAUACCUGCACAUUUUUCAUAAUCAAAGUUGUAUGAAUUUCAUAGAUUUUUACCUGGUCUUUCAAAAAAUUCAUGCUUCAGGGUACGUUCGCCUGCUCCGAAAAGAGCUACAGUGGCUGCAAAUAAGUUUUCAAUUUUCACUGUCAAAAAAACAGACUGUUUACAGUGUUGUCUCCCCUCAAAACAUGUAUAUUUAAUCUAAUUUUUUAAAUUAUUUUAAACAUUCAACCUGCUUUAAUUGAAGUUAAUUAACAUAUCUUUACAACCAAAUACAAAAAACAUGAUACUUUUUCACCAAUUAUGUUGAUAAAAAGGGACUUUCCUCCAUGUCUAUUUUUAGUUGGGGAAUAACCCCUAGUUUUUUUAUACGAAACU